Molecule: non-coding RNA, 418 nt
Organism: Lepisosteus oculatus (spotted gar)
Lineage: Eukaryota; Metazoa; Chordata; Actinopteri; Semionotiformes; Lepisosteidae
Source: the annotation of a RefSeq genome assembly
CUGUCUGUCCAGGGUUCACAGUCACAGUCCUGAGACAAACAUGAGUCUCUCAGCAGGAGUAUUACCGGUCUUGAUGUUUGUGCAACAUGCCAGUUGUGAUGUGGUCUUGACCCAGUCCAGCUCGGAGAUCGGAAAGCCAGGACAGAGCCUGCGGCUGUCCUGUGCAGUCAGUGGAUAUUCCCUGACGGAUAGCAGCUAUGCAACAGGCUGGAUUCGUCAGCCCUCUGGAAAGGGACUGGAGUGGCUGGCACUCAUUUACUAUGAUGCUGACACAAGCUAUGCAGACUCCAUCAAGGGCCGGUUCACAAUCUCCAAGCCUGGCAGCUCAGUCUACCUGCAGAUGAACAGCCUGCAGUCUGACGACACAGCUGUGUAUUACUGUGCCCGAAGACCACAGUGAGGAAGUUCCCUUCACUGC